GACGAACGCUGGCGGCGUGCUUAACACAUGCAAGUCGAACGGUGAUCUCGGAGCUUGCGUUCGGGUGAUCAGUGGCGAACGGGUGAGUAACACGUGAGUAACCUGCCCUUGGCUCUGGGAUAACCCCGGGAAACCGAGGCUAAUACCGGAUAUGACGCAGACAGGCAUCUGUACUGUGUGGAAAGUUUUUUCGGCUAGGGAUGGACUCGGCGGCCUAUCAGCUUGUUGG
RNAcentral lists this ribosomal RNA (229 nucleotides) under uncultured bacterium. Its description in RNAcentral is "partial 16S ribosomal RNA". It matches the Rfam family "Bacterial small subunit ribosomal RNA", at positions 28 to 252 of the family's 1533-position model. The record is from RNAcentral.